GAUGUCCUACGGGAGGCAGCAGUGGGGAAUAUUGCACAAUGGGGGAAACCCUGAUGCAGCAACGCCGCGUGAGUGAAGAAGGUUUUCGGAUUGUAAAGCUCUGUUAGCAGGGAAGAGGAAGGACGGUACCUGCAGAGGAAGCCACGGCUAACUCCGUGCCAGCAGCCGCGGUAAUACGGAGGAUGCGAGCGUUAUCCGGAUUUAUUGGGUUUAAAGGGUGCGUAGGCGGUCCGUUAAGUCAGCGGUAAAAUUGCGGGGCUCAACCCCGUCGAGCCGUUGAAACUGGCAGACUUGAGUUGGCGAGA
This 305-nucleotide ribosomal RNA is filed under the name uncultured bacterium. Its description in RNAcentral is "bacterial SSU rRNA". It matches the Rfam family "Bacterial small subunit ribosomal RNA", at positions 333 to 655 of the family's 1533-position model. The record is from RNAcentral.